RNAcentral lists this ribosomal RNA (230 nucleotides) under uncultured Candidatus Saccharibacteria bacterium. RNAcentral describes it as "partial 16S ribosomal RNA". It matches the Rfam family "Bacterial small subunit ribosomal RNA", at positions 584 to 818 of the family's 1533-position model. Lineage: Bacteria; Candidatus Saccharimonadota. The record is from RNAcentral.
UAAGUUCUGUUAAUAUCAAGGCUCAACCUUGGGAAGGCAGGAAACUGGCUCGCUAGAGCAUAGUAGAGGUAACUGGAAUUUCUAGUGUAGGAGUGAAAUCCGUAGAUAUUAGAAGGAACACCGAUGGCGUAGGCAGGUUACUGGGCUAUUGCUGACACUAAGGCACGAAAGCGUGGGGAGCGAACGGGAUUAGAUACCCCGGUAGUCCACGCCCUAAACGAUGCAUGCUA